Molecule: ribosomal RNA, 352 nt
Filed under: uncultured organism
Description: bacterial SSU rRNA
Rfam family: Bacterial small subunit ribosomal RNA
Source: RNAcentral
GCGCAGCAGUCGCGAAUUUUUCUCAAUGGGGGAAACCCUGAAGGAGCGACGCCGCGUGGAGGAUGAAGGUCUUCGGAUUGUAAACUCCUGUCAUUUGGGAACGAAGUUGCAUCGAUUAACUGUCGAUGCAUUGAUAGUACCAGAAGAGGAAGAGACGGCUAACUCUGUGCCAGCAGCCGCGGUAAUACAGUGGUCUCUAAGCGUUGUUCGGAUUCAUUGGGCGUAAAGGGUGCGUAGGUGGCGGGGUAAGUCAGGUGUGAAAUCUCGAGGCUCAACCUCGAAACUGCACUUGAUACUGCCUUGCUAGAGUACUGGAGAGGAGAUUGGAAUUUACGGUGUAGCAGUGAAAUGC